RNAcentral lists this non-coding RNA (25 nucleotides) under Rattus norvegicus (Norway rat). Lineage: Eukaryota; Metazoa; Chordata; Mammalia; Rodentia; Muridae. The record is from RNAcentral.
UGCCCACCCGUGGAGGAAGAGGCCA